GGAGGAAGGUGGGAUGACGUCAAGUCAUCAUGGCCCUUACGACCAGGGCUACACACGUGCUACAAUGGCGCAUACAAAGAGAAGCGACCUCGCGAGAGCAAGCGGACCUCAUAAAGUGCGUCGUAGUCCGGAUUGGAGUCUGCAACUCGACUCCAUGAAGUCGGAAUCGCUAGUAAUCGUGGAUCAGAAUGCCACGGUGAAUACGUUCCCGGGUCUU
This 217-nucleotide ribosomal RNA is filed under the name uncultured Enterobacteriaceae bacterium. Its description in RNAcentral is "partial 16S ribosomal RNA". It matches the Rfam family "Bacterial small subunit ribosomal RNA", at positions 1165 to 1382 of the family's 1533-position model. Lineage: Bacteria; Pseudomonadati; Pseudomonadota; Gammaproteobacteria; Enterobacterales; Enterobacteriaceae. The record is from RNAcentral.